Drosophila virilis is the source of this 429-nucleotide non-coding RNA. Lineage: Eukaryota; Metazoa; Arthropoda; Insecta; Diptera; Drosophilidae. The record is from RefSeq and is a predicted model, not a curated record.
UUUCUUUAUUCUUUUGCAUAUGCACAAAAUAUUAAGCGCACACUUUGGCCAGUGCUUGUAGCGCAACCAAAACUUCGAGGUGCACACACUUGCACGCACACGCAGGCACAAGAAGAAGCAUGCACACAGCAAUUACAUUUGCAGGUCGCUUGCUCGAUACGCGGAAGACAAAGGGCGGAAGUAGCCCAACAAGUCCAUGUCCAAUGCCUCUGGCCUGUAAUAAUCGACUGAAAUAAAUAAUAAUUUUGUUAGAUAGCAAAGCCUGCGGCGAUGCCUUAUUUAAAUAUAUAAUAUAUGCAUAUUCUAUGUAAUAUUCUAUAUGUUAAUUCUAAGUUCAAACCAAUGUCAAGGUCCGCUAUAAAAGAAGAAAACUUGUUCUAGUCAAACGAAUCCCGCAAUGCUGAGCAAUAAAUCAAACGUGGAAUAUCA